Molecule: ribosomal RNA, 253 nt
Filed under: uncultured bacterium
Lineage: Bacteria
Description: partial 16S ribosomal RNA
Rfam family: Bacterial small subunit ribosomal RNA
Source: RNAcentral
UACGGGGGGUGCGAGCGUUGUCCGGAAUUAUUGGGCGUAAAGAGCUCGUAGGCGGCUUGUCACGUCGGGUGUGAAAGCCCGGGGCUUAACCCCGGGUCUGCAUUCGAUACGGGCAGGCUAGAGUGUGGUAGGGGAGAUCGGAAUUCCUGGUGUAGCGGUGAAAUGCGCAGAUAUCAGGAGGAACACCGGUGGCGAAGGCGGAUCUCUGGGCCAUUACUGACGCUGAGGAGCGAAAGCGUGGGGAGCGAACAGG